CACGGGGGGAGCAAGCGUUGUUCGGAAUUACUGGGCGUAAAGCGCAUGUAGGCGGCAAUGCAAGUCGGGCGUGAAAUCCCACGGCUCAACCGUGGAAGUGCACUCGAAACUGCAUAGCUAGAGUCCUGGAGAGGAAGGUGGAAUGCUUGGUGUAGAGGUGAAAUUCGUAGAUAUCAAGCAGAACACCUGCGGCGAAGGCGGCCUUCUGGACGGUGACUGACGCUGAGACGCGAAAGCGUGGGGAGCAAACAGG
Molecule: ribosomal RNA, 253 nt
Filed under: uncultured prokaryote
Description: partial 16S ribosomal RNA
Rfam family: Bacterial small subunit ribosomal RNA
Source: RNAcentral